GAGUUCGGGCCGCACGCGCGCUACACUGACAGAGCCAGCGAGUCUACCACCUUUGCCGGAAGGCAUGGGUAAUCUUGUGAAACUCUGUCGUGAUGGGGAUAGAGCAUUGCAAUUAUUGCUCUUCAACGAGGAAUACCUAGUAAGCGUGAUUCAUCAGAUCGCGUUGAUUACGUCCCUGCCCUUUGUACACACCGCCCGUCGCUACUACCGAUUGAAUGGCUUAGUGAGGCCUCGGAUUGGCUAUUGGGAGCUCGCGAGAGCACCCGACUGCUGAGAAGUUGUACGAACUUGGUCAUUUAGAGGAAGUAAAAGUCGUAACAAGGUUUCCGUAGGUGAACCUGCGGAAGGAUCAUUAGUGAAUAAUAGGACGUUCCAUUUAACUGGAAGUCCGAACUCUCACUUUCUAACCCUGUGCAUUUGUUUUGGCUAGUAGGAUGCUUGCGUCCGAACACCUCUUCAUUUACAAACACAAAGUCUAUGAAUGUUUAAUUUUAUAACAAAACAAAACUUUCAACAACGGAUCUCUUGGCUCUCGCAUCGAUGAAGAACGCAGCGAAAUGUGAUAAGUAAUGUGAAUUGCAGAAUUCAGUGAAUCAUCGAAUCUUUGAACGCAUCUUGCACUCCUUGGUAUUCCGAGGAGUAUGCCUGUUUGAGUGUCAUGAAUUCUUCAACCCUCUCUUUUCUUAGUGAUUAGAGAGGAGCUUGGGAUUCUGAGUGUUGCUCCUUACCCGAGCUCAUUCGUAAUAUAUUAGCAUCCAUAUUCGAACUUUCGGAUUGACUUGGCGUAAUAAACUAUUCCCUGAAGGAAUCUAACUUCGGUUAGGGCCGGGGUUUGACUAAGAAACCUCCUAAUCUAACUUAAUCCACUUUUUAAAUAAAAUCUCAAAUCAGGGAGGGAUUACCCCCUGAACUUUA
Molecule: ribosomal RNA, 915 nt
Filed under: Sporidiobolales sp. LM404
Lineage: Eukaryota; Fungi; Basidiomycota; Microbotryomycetes; Sporidiobolales
Description: eukaryotic LSU rRNA
Rfam family: Eukaryotic small subunit ribosomal RNA (bases 1-355)
Source: RNAcentral